RNAcentral lists this ribosomal RNA (758 nucleotides) under uncultured Neisseriaceae bacterium. Its description in RNAcentral is "bacterial SSU rRNA". It matches the Rfam family "Bacterial small subunit ribosomal RNA", at positions 28 to 776 of the family's 1533-position model. Lineage: Bacteria; Pseudomonadati; Pseudomonadota; Betaproteobacteria; Neisseriales; Neisseriaceae. The record is from RNAcentral.
GACGAACGCUGGCGGCGUGCUUAACACAUGCAAGUCGAACGCUGAAGCCUAGCUUGCUGGGUGGAUGAGUGGCGAACGGGUGAGUAACACGUGAGUAACCUGCCCUCUUCUUUGGGAUAACGCCCGGAAACGGGUGCUAAUACUGGAUAUUCACUGAUCUUCGCAUGGGGGUUGGUGGAAAGGUUUUUUCUGGUGGGGGAUGGGCUCGCGGCCUAUCAGCUUGUUGGUGGGGUGAUGGCCUACCAAGGCUUUGACGGGUAGCCGGCCUGAGAGGGUGACCGGUCACAUUGGGACUGAGAUACGGCCCAGACUCCUACGGGAGGCAGCAGUGGGGAAUAUUGCACAAUGGGCGAAAGCCUGACGGAGCAACGCCGCGUGAGUGAUGACGGCCUUCGGGUUGUAAAACUCUGUGAUCCGGGACGAAAAGGCAGAGUGCGAAGAACAAACUGCAUUGACGGUACCGGAAAAGCAAGCCACGGCUAACUACGUGCCAGCAGCCGCGGUAAUACGUAGGUGGCAAGCGUUGUCCGGAGUUAUUGGGCGUAAAGCGCGCGCAGGCGGCUUCCCAAGUCCCUCUUAAAAGUGCGGGGCUUAACCCCGUGAUGGGAAGGAAACUGGGAAGCUGGAGUAUCGGAGAGGAAAGUGGAAUUCCUAGUGUAGCGGUGAAAUGCGUAGAGAUUAGGAAGAACACCGGUGGCGAAGGCGACUUUCUGGACGAAAACUGACGCUGAGGCGCGAAAGCGUGGGGAGCAAACAGG